RNAcentral lists this ribosomal RNA (293 nucleotides) under uncultured bacterium. Its description in RNAcentral is "partial 16S ribosomal RNA". It matches the Rfam family "Bacterial small subunit ribosomal RNA", at positions 773 to 1060 of the family's 1533-position model. The record is from RNAcentral.
GUGGAUUAGAUACCCUAGUAGUCCACGCCGUAAACGAUGAGUGCUAAGUGUUAGAGGGGUUUUCCCUUUAGUGCUGUAGCUAACGCGUUAAGCACUCCGCCUGGGGAGUACGGCCGCAAGGCUGAAACUCAAAGGAAUUGACGGGGGCCCGCACAAGCGGUGGAGCAUGUGGUUUAAUUCGAAGUAACGCGAAGAACCUUACCAGGUCUUGACAUCCCCUGACAACCCUGGAGACAGGGCGUUCCCCCCUUCGGGGGGACAGGGUGACAGGUGGUGCACGGCCGUCGCCAGCU